ACACACCUACGGGGCGCAGCAGUGGGGAAUAUUGCACAAUGGGGGGAACCCUGAUGCAGCGACGCCGCGUGAGGGAAGAAGGUUUUUGGAUUGUAAACCUCUGUCCUUGGUAAAGAAGCAAGACGGUAGCCAAGGAGGAAGCCACGGCUAACUACGUGCCAGCAGCCGCGGUAAUACGUAGGAUGCGAGCGUUAUCCGGAUUUAUUGGGUUUAAAGGGUGCGUAGGCGGACUGGAAAGUCAGCGGUAAAAUCGAGAGGCUCAACCUCUUUCCGCCGUUGAAACUGUCGGUCUUGAGUGGGCGAGA
RNAcentral lists this ribosomal RNA (305 nucleotides) under uncultured bacterium. RNAcentral describes it as "bacterial SSU rRNA". It matches the Rfam family "Bacterial small subunit ribosomal RNA", at positions 333 to 655 of the family's 1533-position model. The record is from RNAcentral.